CUAGCCUGCAGUCGAGCGGCAGCGGAAAGUACCUUGCUACUUUGCCGGCGAGCGGCGGACGGGUGAGUAGUGUCUGGGAAACUGCCUGAUGGAGGGGGAUAACUACUGGAAACGGUAUCUAAUACCGCAUAACGUCGCAAGACCAAAGAGGGGGACCUUCGGGCCUCUUGCCAUCAUAUGUGCCCAGAUGGGAUUAUCUAGUAGGUGGGGUAACGGCUCACCUAGGCGACGAUCCCUAUCUGGUCUGAGAGGAUGACCACCCACACUGGAACUGACACACGGUCCACACUCCUACGGGAGGCAGCAGUGGGGAAUAUUGCACAGUGGGCGCAAGCCUGAUGCAGCCAUGCCGCGUGUAUGAAGAAGGCCUUCGGGUUGUAAAGUACUUUCAGCGGAGAAGAAGGCGUUGAGGUUAAUAACCACAGCGAUUGACGUUACCCGCAAAAGAAGCACCGGCUAACUCCGUGCCAGCACCCGCGGUAAUACGGAGGGUGCAAGCGUUAAUCGGAAUUAGUGGGCGUAAAGCGCACGCAGGCGGUCUGUCAAGUCAGAUGUGAAAUCCCCGGGCUCAACCUGGGAACUGCAUUCGAAACUGGCAGGCUAGAGUCUUGUAGAGGGGGGUAGAAUUCCAGGUGUAGCGGUGAAAUGCGUAGAGAUCUGGAGGAAUACCGGUGGCAAACGCGGCCCCCUGGACAAAAGACUGACGCUCAGGUGCGAAAGCGUGGGGAGCAAACAGGAAUAAAUACCGUGGGUAGUCCCACGCCCGUAAACGAUGUCCACUUGGAGGUUGUGCCCUUGAGGCGUGGCUUCCGGAGCUAACGCGUUAAGUCGACCGCCUGGGGAA
This 844-nucleotide ribosomal RNA is filed under the name Enterobacter cloacae. Its description in RNAcentral is "bacterial SSU rRNA". It matches the Rfam family "Bacterial small subunit ribosomal RNA", at positions 50 to 880 of the family's 1533-position model. The record is from RNAcentral. Lineage: Bacteria; Pseudomonadati; Pseudomonadota; Gammaproteobacteria; Enterobacterales; Enterobacteriaceae.